RNAcentral lists this unclassified non-coding RNA (240 nucleotides) under soil metagenome. Its description in RNAcentral is "partial contains 5.8S ribosomal RNA, internal transcribed spacer 2, and large subunit ribosomal RNA". The record is from RNAcentral.
AACAAGGCGUACCUGCGGACCUGCGGAAGGAUCAUUAAAAAGAGUGUGUACCCCUCUGUAAAAUGAGUGGGUUACCUCCCGUCCUUUGUUGACCUCUUAGGAGGUUAUUUUGAACUUUCUGCUUCGGUGGGGUUAAACCUACCGGAACACCCUCAAAUUCUUAUCAUUUAAAAAUUGUUCAGUCUGAUUCUUGUUAAUAAAAACAAAAAACUUUCAACAAUGGAUCUCAGAUCGGAAGAG